UUCCCCUUAGUGUUAUAACUUAAUAAGUUAUUAUGCAUAUAAGGUAAA
RNAcentral lists this small nucleolar RNA (48 nucleotides) under Fusarium venenatum. Lineage: Eukaryota; Fungi; Ascomycota; Sordariomycetes; Hypocreales; Nectriaceae. The record is from RNAcentral.